UUUAAAUUAAAUUUUUGUUUAGAUAUUUUUUGUAAAAUUUUAUUUUAAAUAAAAUUUAUUUUAAAAAAUAUUUAAAUUUUUGAAUAAAAUAUUAAUUUCAUAAGAAAUUAUAAAUUAAAAAUUUUUUUAUAAAAUUAAUAAAAUUUGUGCCAGCAAUUGCGGUUAUACAAAAAAUUAAAAAAAAUAUUAUUUAUAAAAUUAAUAUAAAAAUUAUUUAUUUAAAUAAAAAAAAAUUUUUUUUUUUUAGUAAAAUAUAUAAAAUUUUAGAUUAUUUUAUUUUUAUUUAAAUUGAAUUGUUUAAAAUUUUAAAAAUAAAUUAAGAUUAGAUACCUUAUUAUUUUAAAAGUAAAGAAGAAAUUUUUAAAAAGUAAAAUUUUAUUUAUUGAAACUUAAAAAAUAUGGCAGUUUAUUAAUAAUUUAGAGGAACUUAUUUAAUAAAUUGAUAAAACACGAUAAAAAUUUAUUUAAAUUUAUUUAAUUUGUAUAUCGCCAUAGGGCUAAGUUUUUAAAGAAAAUUAAAUUUUAAAUUUUUUUUAAAAAAAAAAAUAGGUCAAGAUACAGUGUAUAUUUAAAAUAAAAUGAGUUACAAUUAUUUAUUAUAUAUAUAUAUAUAUAUAUAUAUAUAUAAUUGAAAAAAAAAUUAAAAUUAUUUUAAUAAAGAGGAUUUAAAAGUAAUAUAAUUAAAAUUAAAUUAUAUGAUUAAAAAUUAAUAUGUGUACAAAUUGCCCGUCACUAGCAUUUAAAUAUGAAAGAAGUCGUAACAUAGUAAAAGUACUGGAAGGU
RNAcentral lists this non-coding RNA (783 nucleotides) under Tremex columba (pigeon tremex). The record is from RNAcentral. Lineage: Eukaryota; Metazoa; Arthropoda; Insecta; Hymenoptera; Siricidae.